AAGAUUUUAUUGGUCGAACAGACCACAAAUUAAAAAUUCUGCCUUUUAAUUUAAUCUUAAUCCAACAUCGAGGUCGUAAUAAAUUCUAUAAAUUUGAUCUUUCAAGAAAUUUUACG
RNAcentral lists this ribosomal RNA (116 nucleotides) under Aleurothrixus floccosus. RNAcentral's name for it is "partial 16S ribosomal RNA". Lineage: Eukaryota; Metazoa; Arthropoda; Insecta; Hemiptera; Aleyrodidae. The record is from RNAcentral.